This 253-nucleotide ribosomal RNA is filed under the name uncultured bacterium. Its description in RNAcentral is "partial 16S ribosomal RNA". It matches the Rfam family "Bacterial small subunit ribosomal RNA", at positions 524 to 776 of the family's 1533-position model. The record is from RNAcentral.
UACAGAGGUCUCAAGCGUUGUUCGGAAUCACUGGGCGUAAAGGGUGCGCAGGCGGCGCGGAAAGUCAGAUGUGAAAUCCGGGGGCUCAACCUCCGAAUUGCAUCCGAUACUCCCGCGCUAGAGAUUUGUAGAGGAGCUUGGAAUUCUCGGUGUAGCAGUGAAAUGCGUAGAUAUCGAGAAGAACGCUCGCAGCGAAAGCGAAGCUCUGGGCAACAUCUGACGCUCAUGCACGAAGGCCAGGGGAGCAAACGGG